GGCUGUUGUCCUGCAACGAACAUCUUUCAUCUUGAUUUCUUAAUUGUUUCGCUUUUCAUAGUCUUUGGUUACACAGUUAUUAGAUGAUCUUGAACAUUAGAACUGCAAAUUGGCAUUAGUGGUACGUUAUAGCUAAGAAUGGAGUUGGCUAUUCUGGUGGUAUAGUCACCCCCGAUUUUGGGUUGGACUUUACUCAACCUCUGCAUAAAGGAAGACAUUUCCAUGGAAGAUGUCGCGUCUGGCAAGUUCGAAAGGUGUUCAUCUCGUCCCGACGGGGCUCUUCAGCUAUUCUUGGUGACCAACAUUUUCUAGAACUAUCCUAAGGGAAGUGAACGGACGUUUUCUCUGGAGACAAUCGAGACGCACGAGACGAGUUCGUUUUGAACAUAAUUCCUGGGAAGGAAGGAAACCACAAACUCCACCGUCGGCAGCCGUUCGUUCUUGUGAUGGUGGAAUCGUUUUCAUCCAACACCGUCCAUGAUGAUAACUGAAGGCGUUACAUCCACUUCUGUCCAUGCACAAUCUGCCGCAUUUUUCACCUUCUAUCAUUUCACUUCCGAUGUCAGCACCUGGGAAAUCGCAAUCUGGAAGCCAAGCGACAUCACCAUCGCCGAUAUGCCAUUUGGCUCGAUCGUUUUCGCCAUGAACGGCAGGUGAUCUGGAUUUCCAGGCAACGAGGUUAAGACGAGGAAUCGAUGGCGAAUCACAGUCUACGAUCGGGUUGCUAUGUGUUCAAUUGAUCUUUAAAAGAAAAUGUUGAUUUUGAAUAAUGAAUUUUCGAAUGUUACAGGUUAGAAACGGAUUUGAAGAGCAAUGGUUGAAUAGUUUUGACAUGGCUGUUGUCGCAGACGAGACGGGCUAAACUCGUUUUACGGAUUUCCUUCAAUUGUUCUGUAGAUUGCAGAAUUUUAAUUAAUGAAUGAACACGUCUAAUGAGGGAGGAAAUUGACCUGGAGUGAAUGAGCCGGAUUGUCCGCCGAGAUCGUAGAAAUAGCGAUCACCGCGUUUGAGUUUUAGAAACUGAUCGGCUAUGAGGCACUGGAAUGUUGGACCGACCAGAGCACCUGCAACCGGAUGUUCGGAUAUGCCUGCGAUGAACAGGUCGAUAUCGUCGACAGACUCGUACAACGAUUUGAAUUUAUCUACAAUCUGAUGAAUAUUUUGCAUUUUAAAUAAUCUACUCAAUGGAUUUCAGGUUAACGUCAAUUCUCACCUGGCUGGAAAUGUGAUCGUGAAGAUCGUCGAAACUAUGUGCCUUUUUAAGGCCGCACAGAGCGCGAUAAGCAUUGUAUCCAGACAGACAUACCGUGAUCUCGGCCUCGUUGAAUAUUAAUAGACAUCAAAUCUAAUCCGAAACCUUUGCCUUCCUCUUCGAACAAGUGAAAAGACGAACCUCGUCAGUAACGAUGUUGUCCACCUUUUGAUCGGGUUGAGUUGCCAAACCGAUUAAGAAUUUGUCCAGGUUACCAGGUGUGUACACGGUUUGUGAUUUGAAAAAGUGUUGGCUCAAACGAAUCGAAUCGGCACGUUUCCUCUCGCGAUCGAACAACCUAAAGUGAGUUAAUUAUUCAAUAAUAAUCAGAUAAUGGAAUACUUGAACUAAUUGAAUACAGGUGGAUUCCUUGGACGAGCGAAUGUCCAAAACGGAAAGCUGCACCGGCAAAUUCGUUCGCGAUGGAUGGAUUGACUUUGGCAUCGUAAUCUUGGCUGAAUCCAUUUUGGAUUGGUAAAAGACCGAGCUGUUCCAUUUUACUUUUCCCGAUGACGAUGGGCAGCCAUUCGUUGUAGGUGAUGUGCUGCAUUUGAGCGAUCAAAAUACGUCGAGCUUCUUGAUAGAGUUGCUCAUCGUUCAAGUGCAUGUGCUGGCCGGACAAGGUCCUCACGAUUCGAUUGUGCUCGCGUAAAAAGACAGUGUGGGCCACAGCCAAGUUCGGCGUGAUGUUCGAUCUGGGGUCACCUGCGUUGAAACAUUUGACGUGAUUGGGUGGGUCGAUACCUGACACAGCUUUCGAUAACGUGCAAGGAUCUUUGGCACUGUUAUCGGGUGGUAGUAAGUCCAUCUUGUGAUGACCAGCUGGCAAUUUCCAGUUGUGAGUCACGUCCAGUCGGCCUUUAUCUGUUGUCGAUCGCAAUUGUUGGGCGUGUGUGUCAUCGGAGCCGUACACUUGGGAUGCGUCCAAGAAAUGAGUGUUAUCAUUCAUCUGCAUGGAAAUUGGUUAAUCGAAGAAUGUUGUGUGGAAUACGAGGAUUAAUUAGACCUGUUCCGCAAAACCCAAUCUGCAAUCGGACCUGCGUGCGGGAGCUGAACGGACAAAAGACAUGCAGCGUCGACCAAACUUGGAGAAAAAUGGAUCGUUUUCUGGAAUUUUGAUUGGAUUGCAUUCUGGAUGGACUACGUCUUCGUCAAUGAAGCGUCCGUUUGGCGUACAACACUCGAUGUCCGUCAAGUUGUCUUUUGGUUUUUUGUUCAAUGAAUAUUAGAUUAGAUAUUUUCGACAGUGAAACAUUUCAAUCUAAAAUCUUACCCAUUUUUGAUUGGACAUUUUGCGUGAUGUCGUGGUCGAGAAACUGACCAAAUUGUGUGACCCAAUAAGUGUUUGUCGAAUGGAUGUGGUCGUUGUUAUCGCGGAUGAUGGAUGUAGACACUAACCGGGCGCUGGAAAUGGAGAGAAUCAGUUUGGGUAAUUGAUAUAUUAAAAGAAAAAGUCUUUUCAAUUUACCUAGAUAAUUCCUUAUUAUUUUUGGCCCGUCGUGGUUCUCGCACACCUGUUCCAGAGAGAGAAUAGUAAUAAAUACGUAUAAUCUUAAGGGAUAAUGAAAAAAAAAAAAAUUACACACCGUCGGCAUACACAGGUAAGAGGGUGCGUUGAAAUUGGGUGCGAGAUUUGCCCCAAGUGGGAUUUUGGAUAUUAUUGCACGAACCAUCUAAUGUUCUAAAAGGGGAAUUUCUUGUUCUAUCACUGCAAGCAGGAAUAGUUGGACAAUUGAUCGUGAAUGGACUCAACGCAGAAGCCACCUGAUUCGGUUUAAGUCCAACCCUAAUUGGCAAAUGUCAUCAUGGAUGUUUACAUGUAAAAAUGAAAAGAACUAAAUUAUUGGUUACCUCUUCGUAAGUUCUUGGGCUGUGUAAACGUCAACGAGUGCUUCAAGAUUGAUUUUCUGUGUCUCGUGUGUCGUGUGGAAGACGAGUGAAUGGGCUGCAGAAGAAGAGCCCGCCAAUACCACGAUAUUAUUAGAGAUAAGUCCUUUUUCUACUAUGCCCAGUGAUUGAAACAGAGAAUGACUAGCUUCUUUCGCAGCACCCAGUUGAGAUUGAAGUUUGGAUUCCAAUUGUAAAUCGUCAUUCGUCCCGUAAUUGGGCUGUUCAAAAUAUUUGCCAUUGUGUCCUGGUUUGACGUUAAAUUGAAUUGAAUUUCAGUCCUUUUGAAUGACAAAGUAAUAAUGAAAUAUACUGUUAUGUGGAAGAUCAGGACAACAGGAUCCAGGACUUUUCCCGUCAGACAAGGUGCAGGAUGUUCCAGGUGUGGUCAGAACCAAAUCGUACCAAGCGGCACAUUCGACAAUCGGUCUGCAUAUCGAUUGUAAACCACCAACAUUUGGACAAGGGUUUCUCCAGGGUACGAAACCACACAUACCACCGUUCGUCGCUGUACGGGGCGUGGAUAGUGGCAUUUUUUUAAUGAAACAAAUCCCGUUGAUGAAACGAAAAUGAUUGCAUUCGGGAUUGGCCAGGCAGAGGCUGCCACAUUGUUCUCCAGUACCGGCUUGUUGUCCAAUGUCGUUUCCGAAAAAGUCACAAUUGAGAAGCCAUUUGAGACCACCGUUGUCAGUGUUCCAAUGGUCUCGCCCUGUACAAUAAGUUUGACUUCAUUCACAAAAGAAGAUAAGUACAUUUUAAAAAAAUUAUACCUGGUUGGAAUUUCCAGGGGACAAAGCCACAGGCGACAUUGCUGUCGGCCUUGAGGGAAACGUGAGGCGUAGAUAAAGGUGCAGCUUUCAAUAAACAUUUCCCUCUGGCAUGAGUAAAGUGAGUACAUUCAGGCUUGGCUAUGCAAAUCGUCCCACACUGCUCCCCUGGACUUUCGAUUUCGUCAAUGUCAAAGCCAGGAAAAUCACAAUCCAUUCGCCAUUUAACAUCCCCACCGCCAUUGUUCCAACCUUCAGUGCCACUGAUACGCCAGGGCGAGUUCAGGAGCAGCAAAAUGACGCAGAUUACAGAGGCAGAGGGAAUCAUCUAAAUGUUAAUAUGGGGCCUGAAAGUCAAAAUUUGGUCGUUUUUCUACAACUAAAGCUCUGUCGAGGUAGCUCUGAAGAUGUGGUUUCAUUCGUUCCCAGAUAACGACCGGAUUUUUAAAAAAACCACGGUUCAAGGAAAUGUCCUCA
Molecule: long non-coding RNA, 4383 nt
Organism: Daphnia carinata
Lineage: Eukaryota; Metazoa; Arthropoda; Branchiopoda; Diplostraca; Daphniidae
Exons: 5
Source: RefSeq, a predicted model, not a curated record